Molecule: unclassified non-coding RNA, 2396 nt
Filed under: Leishmania donovani
Lineage: Eukaryota; Euglenozoa; Kinetoplastea; Trypanosomatida; Trypanosomatidae
Description: gene:unknown
Source: RNAcentral
ACACACUUGCUGACCUUGCUGCAUCUCUCCGUCACCGCGCAGGCGUGACCUGCUCUCUUUUUGUUCCUCCCCUUCUGAUGGGGUGCCUAGCAGUGCACCUCUCGGCGCCCUUAGUCGUCGCGCUGCAUGGCAGACAGGUGAUGGAGCAGCUGUCGGAUUAGGUCAUGCAGAUCAACGGGGCCACAAGCCUUCUGAGCCACUGCCAGCACCGCUGUCAUCGCAAUCAUCCAUUUGCGUAUUGCAGGCUAGAGGCGGCGACUCUGCCGUACCGCCGUUCUCGCACUCACUUCGCUGCGUACUCGCGCUGGACGUUGCAUCGGGGCAGGAUGUGAAUUGAGGCUUCUGCCGUGCUCCUUUCACGUGUACGCGGCACGCGCUCUCUACCGGAUCGCUUUUCGAAGUGGAUCGUUCCAUGCUGCAGGAUCGACCGAAAUAAGCACGGCAGCACGAGAGUCGCACACGCACGUCUGGCGGUGAGCUGGCAGGCGCGCGCCGCUAAUCCACCGGCGCCGUCCGAGGGAGGCGCUCAUAGAAGCAUGCUCGGCCUGCUGGGUGCCAUGACUGGUGAGAAGUCCACACACUUGCUUAGCUCCCUGAAGCUGGUAACAUCCCUGACAACAAUAGUCGACAAUGGAGUGUCGCCGGCCGACUGUCUGUCGACACCAAACAGACGGCGGUGCACGGGGGUCUGAAACGAGCGCAGUCUAGCCUGUGCAGCGGGACAUCUGCGCGCCGCAUGAGACCACUUCUGACAAGUCUUUUGCACACAACACAAGCGCAGCGGCCCCUUUUUUCUCUCAAGGGCAUCAUUAGUGUCUGCUGGCGCUCAGUCGAGGUGAUGUGGGCGCACGUGUAUGUGCUCAAGCGGGAGCCCCAGUGAGGCGUUUCUGUGCAGCAGCGCGAAGACCUCCUCCGUUGCACAGUCUCUGCCCAGCACCUGAUUUUGAUGAAGCGAAUGAGUUAUCCAAACGCGUGAAUGCUGCACCGCCGUGGCCGCGCAGCGCUAACCAGCCUCCUCGAAGCCCUGUGGGGAUGUGCGACGGCUUCUGUUUCUUCCGCUUGCCGUCUGUGAUCUCUCCAGUCGAUUUCAUGCAGGGUACAAUGCACCUUGGCGACCUUUCUGAGGAUACGGCUAACCGGGAUGCGAGAAAAUCCACAUGGAUGACGGCUACUCUCGAGAGAGAGAAGUGACGCGGCGAAACCAACUUCCGAAGUGGUGAUGGUAACGACCCUUUCAGAGUCGGUUAGUCAUGACCGUGCCACCGCUCGCAGUGAGAACAACCCUAGCACAUUACUCGCGCCUCAGUCUACCCAGGCGGUACCGACAGAUGGUGGGCGGCAGACUCCUACCUCGACAGCCUCGUCACCGUUGUCGUUUCCGCGACCGCUCUCUGUCGCGCAGCGCGGGAGUUGUUCUCCCGAAGCGCUUCCAGUUUUGCCGACUGCUUUUGUCUGUACCGGGGCACGCAGCAACGCAGCAUAUCCCGGUGUAAAGAACACCAGCGCGUGGCCUCUGCUCGUAGUUUCUCAAGUUACUCGUCAGAGAGGGAACCCGCCGACGCAGAUAACGGUAGAUCGGACGCAUGCUUUGGUCGCUGGGGAGUCUGUCGCCUCGCCCAACGCACCACUGCCAUUCGAGUGCCUUCCGUUACCGCAGCUCUCACGCGGCCCCGCGCUGGCAGAUGCACUUCCUGGGCAAUGUGCAUCGUCAGAGUUGGCCUCUACUGCGGUGCGUGCCCUCGAUGGAAGCCACCUCCUUCCUGACGAUGGAAGCGGCGCCGCUGUCCACUCCCUCCUGCUGCAGAGGGAGGGCGCAUCUGUGAUUUAUCCGUAUCACCGUCAGUGGCUCUCGCCGCGCCUCCGCAAGCUGCUUCACCUUAGGUCGAAGACCCCCCACCCUUGCUGCGUGUGGUAUCUUCCGCAGCUAGAAGCUGCACAUGCUCAGCGCUUCGUUUAACGGGUAGUGCGUUGGCGAGCACCUUCUCUGCACUGCUGGCGGAAGACGCCGCUGCCCGCGCGUCCCUCGGCAGUACAGAGCACUGUGAGUACCCGACGGAAGUCUUGCCUUUGGCGCAGGGAGAUGGCGAAUAAAGUAGCAAGGCGAUGCCAUCAGCCCUUUCUCUCUCUCUCUGUGUGCGUGUGUGUGUGUGUGCGUGCGUGUGCGUGUGCGUGUGCGUGUGUGUGUGUGUGCGUGUGCGUGUGCGUGUGCCGCUCAAGGUGUCGACGCUUUCACUUGCGGCGCACUGCUUUGGAGCGUUCUCACGGAGACAAAAACGUAUAUAUAUAUAUACCUUCCAUUGAUGAACGCUUCUCUCUCUCGUGCACGAGACGUCGCUGUCCUCUGACUCUGUCAUGCCUGCUUGGGUGAUGUCGCCACGUGCGUGUGCGCGCGUUCC